Molecule: ribosomal RNA, 253 nt
Filed under: uncultured bacterium
Lineage: Bacteria
Description: partial 16S ribosomal RNA
Rfam family: Bacterial small subunit ribosomal RNA
Source: RNAcentral
UACGUAGGGUGCAAGCGUUGUCCGGAAUUAUUGGGCGUAAAGAGCUCGUAGGUGGUUUGUCGCGUUGUUCGUGAAAUCCCACGGCUUAACUGUGGGCGUGCGGGCGAUACGGGCAGACUGGAGUACUGCAGGGGAGACUGGAAUUCCUGGUGUAGCGGUGGAAUGCGCAGAUAUCAGGAGGAACACCGGUGGCGAAGGCGGGUCUCUGGGCAGUAACUGACGCUGAGGAGCGAAAGCGUGGGGAGCGAACAGG